This 521-nucleotide ribosomal RNA is filed under the name uncultured bacterium. RNAcentral's name for it is "partial 16S ribosomal RNA". It matches the Rfam family "Bacterial small subunit ribosomal RNA", at positions 28 to 523 of the family's 1533-position model. The record is from RNAcentral.
GACGAACGCUGGCGGCGUGCCUAAUACAUGCAAGUCGAGCGGGCCUCCGGAGGUGCUUGCACCUCCGGAAGGCCAGCGGCGGACGGGUGAGUAACACGUGGGCAACCUGCCUUUGAGGCCGGGAUAACACCGGGAAACCGGUGCUAAUACCGGAUGCGUCCCCUUUCGCGCCUGCGAGAGGGGAGAAAGACGGUCUUUAAGGCCGUCGCUCAAAGAGGGGCCCGCGGCGCAUUAGCUGGUUGGUGGGGUAAGGGCCUACCAAGGCGACGAUGCGUUGCAGACCUGAGAGGGUGAGCGGCCACACUGGGACUGAGACACGGCCCAGACUCCGGCGGGAGGCAGCAGUAGGGAAUCAUCCGCAAUGGGCGAAAGCCUGACGGUGCAACGCCGCGUGAGUGAGGAAGGUUUUCGGAUCGUAAAGCUCUGUUGUGAGGGAAGAACAGCUUCCGGAGGAAAUGCCGGAGGUUUGCCGGUACCUCACCAGAAAGCCCCGGCUAACUACGUGCCAGCCGCCGCUGUAA